UCGAUUCAGAAGGGUGUCGAUC
RNAcentral lists this non-coding RNA (22 nucleotides) under Arabidopsis thaliana (thale cress). Lineage: Eukaryota; Viridiplantae; Streptophyta; Magnoliopsida; Brassicales; Brassicaceae. The record is from RNAcentral.